AACGAACGCUGGCGGCAGGCCUAACACAUGCAAGUCGAACGAACCCUUCGGGGUGAGUGGCGCACGGGUGCGUAACACGUGGGAAUAUACACAUAGGUAAGGAAUAACUCAGGGAAACUUGCGCUAAUACCUUAUAAUAACUCCGGUUCAAAGAUUUAUCGCCUAUGGAUUAGCCCGCGCUAGAUUAGUUUGUUGGUGAGGUAAGAGCUCACCAAGACUACGAUCUAUAGCUGGUCUUAGAGGAUGAUCAGCCACACUGGAACUGAGACACGGUCCAGACUCCUACGGGAGGGCAGCAGUGAGGAAUAUUGCGCAAUAGAGGAAACGUACUGACGCAGCCAUGCCGCGUGAAUAGAGAAGG
RNAcentral lists this ribosomal RNA (361 nucleotides) under uncultured bacterium. RNAcentral describes it as "bacterial SSU rRNA". It matches the Rfam family "Bacterial small subunit ribosomal RNA", at positions 29 to 414 of the family's 1533-position model. The record is from RNAcentral.